UCAACAAGGUUUCCGUAGGUGAACCUGCGGAAGGAUCAU
RNAcentral lists this ribosomal RNA (39 nucleotides) under Ictalurus punctatus (channel catfish). RNAcentral's name for it is "partial 18S ribosomal RNA". Lineage: Eukaryota; Metazoa; Chordata; Actinopteri; Siluriformes; Ictaluridae. The record is from RNAcentral.